CGGAGGAUCCAAGCGUUAUCCGGAAUCAUUGGGUUUAAAGGGUCCGUAGGCGGGUUUAUAAGUCAGUGGUGAAAGCCCAUCGCUCAACGAUGGAACGGCCAUUGAUACUGUAGAUCUUGAAUUAUUAGGAAGUAACUAGAAUAUGUAGUGUAGCGGUGAAAUGCUUAGAGAUUACAUGGAAUACCAAUUGCGAAGGCAGGUUACUACUAAUGGAUUGACGCUGAUGGACGAAAGCGUGGGUAGCGAACAGGAUUAGAUACCCUGGUAGUCCACGCCCUAAACGAUGAUUACUCGACAUACGCGAUACACAGUGUGUGUCUGAGCGAAAGCAUUAAGUAAUCCACCUGGGAAGUACGAUCGCAAGAUUG
RNAcentral lists this ribosomal RNA (368 nucleotides) under uncultured organism. RNAcentral describes it as "bacterial SSU rRNA". It matches the Rfam family "Bacterial small subunit ribosomal RNA", at positions 526 to 896 of the family's 1533-position model. The record is from RNAcentral.